GUCUGUUGGUGUUGUUUAUCCUCCAGGUCUCUGUCUGUUGGUGUUGUUUAUCCUCCAGGUCUCUGUCUGUCUGUUGGUGUUGUUUAUCCUCCAGGUCUCUGUCUGUUGGUGUUGUUUAUCCUCCAGGUCUCUGUCUGUCUGUUGGUGUUGUUUAUCCUCCAGGUCUCUGUCUGUCUGUUGGUGUUGUUUAUCCUCCAGGUCUCUGUCUGUCUGUUGGUGUUGUUUAUCCUCCAGGUCUCUGUCUGUUGGUGUUGUUUAUCCUCCAGGUCUCUGUCUGUUGGUGUUGUUUAUCCUCCAGGUCUCUGUCUGUUGGUGUUGUUUAUCCUCCAGGUCUCUGUCUGUCUGUUGGUGUUGUUUAUCCUCCAGGUGUCUGUCUGUUGGUGUUGUUUAUCCUCCAGGUCUCUGUCUGUUGGUGUUGUUUAUCCUCCAGGUCUCUGUCUGUUGGUGUUGUUUAUCCUCCAGGUCUCUGUCUGUCUGUUGGUGUUGUUUAUCCUCCAGGUGUCUGUCUGUUGGUGUUGUUUAUCCUCCAG
Molecule: long non-coding RNA, 530 nt
Filed under: Salmo salar (Atlantic salmon)
Lineage: Eukaryota; Metazoa; Chordata; Actinopteri; Salmoniformes; Salmonidae
Description: lncRNA (ENSSSAG00000083507.1, ENSSSAG00000101589.1)
Source: RNAcentral